AUUGAACGCUGGCGGCAGGCCUAACACAUGCAAGUCGAGCGGAUGAAGGGAGCUUGCUCCUGGAUUCAGCGGCGGACGGGUGAGUAAUGCCUAGGAAUCUGCCUGGUAGUGGGGGAUAACGUCCGGAAACGGGCGCUAAUACCGCAUACGUCCUGAGGGAGAAAGUGGGGGAUCUUCGGACCUCACGCUAUCAGAUGAGCCUAGGUCGGAUUAGCUAGUUGGUGGGGUAAAGGCCUACCAAGGCGACGAUCCGUAACUGGUCUGAGAGGAUGAUCAGUCACACUGGAACUGAGACACGGUCCAGACUCCUACGGGAGGCAGCAGUGGGGAAUAUUGGACAAUGGGCGAAAGCCUGAUCCAGCCAUGCCGCGUGUGUGAAGAAGGCCUUCGGAUUGUAAAGCACGUUAAGUUGGGAGGAAGGGCAGUAAGUUAAUACCUUGCUGUUUUGACGUUACCAACAGAAUAAGCACCGGCUAACUUCGUG
RNAcentral lists this ribosomal RNA (484 nucleotides) under uncultured bacterium. RNAcentral's name for it is "partial 16S ribosomal RNA". It matches the Rfam family "Bacterial small subunit ribosomal RNA", at positions 30 to 507 of the family's 1533-position model. The record is from RNAcentral.